UCUCUCUCUCUCUCUCUCUCUCUAUUUGUUCCUCUCUCUCUCUCUCUCUCUCUCUCUCUCUCUCUCUCUCUCUCUCUCUCUCUCUCUGUUUUCAGUCUUUCAGUGUUCAUCGCUUUAUUGUCCUGACAAACAGUUGUACAUUUGAAUUGUCAAAGCGAGUAGAAGGGAAGGGAAGUGUAAACACAAGAGAAAUGAAAUAAACGACAAAAUCAAACAAAACAAAUAAAAUACUAAUAGAUGAAAUAAAAAUAAUAAAAAACAAACAACAGUGCAAACAAUGUACAUGAACGUACAAAUUAAGGACAGAAUAGAUGUACUAUAUACAGAAUCACUUCAGAAAAAAAGCAGGAUAAAAUGUGUAAAAUUACAGGAUCAGAUUUAAAAUGUGUAAAAAUGUACUAAUAAAGGAGAGAAAAAUAUAAAAGACUGAUAAUAAAGAAGAACGAUCACAACAAUUACAGGAGACACCAGGCAGAGGCAGAUCGCUCUGUUCCUAAUAUUGUGGCAGGCGAGUACGAGGGGGACUUUUACACUGAUUCGAAUAUUUUCAGCCAAAUUCUAACAUAUAUCCAGGGAGGAGAACUAUGAAAGAAAACAAUAAAUUGCAUGGAGAAUACAUGGAGAAAACGGGGCAGACGGAUCAGUGUGGAGGGUCACCGAGGAACGUGUCUGUCUGUCUGUCUGUCUGUCUGUCUGUCUGUCCGUCUGUUUCUCUCAGUUUGUCUUCAGCUCGUAAUCUUUCCUCUUUUCUGCUGUCAGACACUGAUCUGAAGGACAGGCAAAUUCCCAGACAGCUUUGUGUGUGUGUGUGUGUGUGUGUGUGUGUGUGUGUGUGUGUGUGUGUGUGUGUGUGUGUUUGCCAUGGCUAAUAUUCAGCUCUGAUGCAACAUAACGAUCACAGACAGAAACUUCAGCAUCAGCCUUCAGAUAUAUCAGUCUCGCUGCAUGACUCUGUCUCUCUUUAUAAAUAUAUCAGGCUUCUUACGUCUUCAGCUUUUAGAGAGAAUUCGACUUUAAAAAGCGUUAUUUAUGACAUUUUAUAUAGUAGAAAGAAAAAACCCAAAUCACAAAUCUUUCAUGAGGUAAUCCUUGACUCUCCGCUGUCUCGGACCCUUUUUCUUUUUCGUUUCUUGCCUCAGAAAGCGUUUGAUAAAAGUGUAUGUAAACUAUUUAUUAAUCAUCAAACCAAACAAGAAUUCCUGUUGGUUUUCCUCGAACUCGUGCUCGUGUUGAUGAACUCAAAUCAUCCGUUUAUUUCUCUCGUCACUAAUAUGAAACGGCUGAGUUGGUGUGUAAUUGAAUAAGUACGUGAUUGAACCUCCACAGUGUAAUCUGUGUAUAUACAGAUAUAUUCUUGGGUCUUACCCAUUGUUGUGAAUGACUAAGGGAAUUUGGCCUGUGUGUUACCUCAUAUUUAUACCCCUGUGAAACAGGAAGUCAUGCUUGAACAAUUUCCUGUUCCUACUCACCCAGGUGUACUAAAAAAAGUUAAAUAUCAAUAGGAAUAUACUUCAAAUAUAUUUUCACAUAUGAAUUCAUAGGAGUGCCAAUAAUUGUUGCACACCUAUAUUUAACAAAGAUAUUUUUGUUUUUAAACCUGUGUUGUGUUUGCAAUUGUUUGAUAUCCAUGAGAGCAGAGUAUUUUUGUGAUUUUUUUUUAAAAAACAAAAGAUUAAAAAACAAUUUGUCACAGCCUUCUUUUCUCAUAUUUACCAAGGGGCCAAUAUUAUUGGAGAGUGCCGUAUAUGUGUUUAUAAGGCACAUGUGAGAGAUAUUUAGACAUACAUUACUGUUCUAGAACUCACUAAUAUACAGUAUUAUUGAGUAAGCAGAGGGUGUAAAGUGUGUAAGUUGGUGUAAGUGUGUAAGUGGUGUAAAUGGUGUAAAGUUGUGUAAAUGGUGUAAAGUGUGUAGUGUGUAAAGGGUGUAAAGUGUGUAGUGUGUAAAGGGUGUGUAGUGUGUAGUGUGUAAAGUGUGUAAGUGUG
Molecule: long non-coding RNA, 1985 nt
Organism: Ictalurus punctatus (channel catfish)
Lineage: Eukaryota; Metazoa; Chordata; Actinopteri; Siluriformes; Ictaluridae
Source: Ensembl